GGAACCCUGAUGCAGCCAUGCCGCGUGUGUGAAGAAGGCCUUCGGGUUGUAAAGCACUUUCAGUUGUGAGGAAAAGUUAGUAGUUAAUACCUGCUAUCCGUGACGUUAACAACAGAAGAAGCACCGGCUAACUCCGUGCCAGCAGCCGCGGUAAUACGGAGGGCGCAAGCGUUAAUCGGAAUUACUGGGCGUAAAGCGUACGUAGGCGGCUUGUUAAGCAAGAUGUGAAAUCCCCGGGCUCAACCUGGGAAUGGCAUUUUGAACUGGCAAGCUCGAGUUCUGAAGAGGGUGGUAGAAUUUCCUGUGUAGCGGUGAAANUGCNGUAGAUAUAGGAAGGAAUNACCAGUGGCGAAGGCGGCCACCUGGUCAGAAACUGACGCUGAGGUACGAAAGCGUGGGGAGCAAACAGGAUUAGAUACCCUGGUAGUCCACGCCGUAAACGAUGUCAACUAGUUGUUCGUCUUAUAAACAAGGUGAGUAACGCAGCUAACGCACUAAGUUGACCGCCUNGGGGAGUACNGNGNCCGCAAGGUNNUAAAANCUNCAAAUGAAUUGACGGGGGCCCGCACAAGCGGUGGAGCAUGUGGUUUAAUUCGAUGCAACGCGAAGAACCUUACCAUCCCUUGACAUCCAGUGAAUUAUCUAGAGAUAGAUGAGUGCCUUCGGGAACACUGAGACAGGUGCUGCAUGGCUGUCGUCAGCUCGUGUUGUGAGAUGUUGGGUUAAGUCCCGCAACGAGCGCAACCCUUAUCCUUAGUUGCCAGCACGUAAUGGUGGGAACUCUGGGGAGACUGCCGGUGAUAAACCGGAGGAAGGUGGGGACGACGUCAAGUCGUCAUGGCCCUUACGGGAUGGGCUACACACGUGCUACAAUGGCGCGUACAAUGGGAAGCAAGCUAGCGAUAGUAAGCGGAUCUCAAAAAGCGCGUCGUAGUCCGGAUCGGAGUCUGCAACUCGACUCCGUGAAGUCGGAAUCGCUAGUAAUCGUGGAUCAGAAUGCCACGGUGAAUACGUUCCCGGGCCUUGUACACACCGCCCGUCACACCAUGGGAGUGG
This 1056-nucleotide ribosomal RNA is filed under the name uncultured Idiomarinaceae bacterium. RNAcentral describes it as "bacterial SSU rRNA". It matches the Rfam family "Bacterial small subunit ribosomal RNA", at positions 377 to 1413 of the family's 1533-position model. Lineage: Bacteria; Pseudomonadati; Pseudomonadota; Gammaproteobacteria; Alteromonadales; Idiomarinaceae. The record is from RNAcentral.